AACGAACGCUGGCGGCAGGCCUAAUACAUGCAAGUCGAACGCACCGCAAGGUGAGUGGCAGACGGGUGAGUAACGCGUGGGAACCUUCCUAGUAGUACGGAAUAACUCCGGGAAACCGGUGCUAAUACCGUAUAAGCCCUCUGGGGGAAGAUUUAUCGCUACUAGAUGGGCCCGCGUCGGAUUAGCUUGUUGGUGAGGUAAUGGCUCACCAAGGCUUCGAUCCGUAGCUGGUCUGAGAGGANGAUCAGCCACACUGGGACUGAGACACGGCCCAGACUCCUACGGGAGGCAGCAGUAGGGAAUAUUGGACAAUGGGCGAAAGCCUGAUCCAGCCAUGCCGCGUGAGUGAAGAAGGCCUUAGGGUUGUAAAGCUCUUUGGCGGGAAGAUAAUGACGGUACCCGCAGAAUAAGCUCCGGCUAACUUCGUGCCAGCCGCCGCAGUAAG
This 445-nucleotide ribosomal RNA is filed under the name uncultured bacterium. Its description in RNAcentral is "bacterial SSU rRNA". It matches the Rfam family "Bacterial small subunit ribosomal RNA", at positions 29 to 524 of the family's 1533-position model. The record is from RNAcentral.